This 30-nucleotide non-coding RNA is filed under the name Rattus norvegicus (Norway rat). Lineage: Eukaryota; Metazoa; Chordata; Mammalia; Rodentia; Muridae. The record is from RNAcentral.
UAGACAUUUGCUAGGUGGUGGAGAGGGAAG